UACGGAGGGGGCUAGCGUUGUUCGGAAUUACUGGGCGUAAAGCGCACGUAGGCGGCUUUGCAAGUUAGAGGUGAAAGCCCGGGGCUCAACUCCGGAAUUGCCUUUAAAACUGCAUCGCUAGAAUUGUGGAGAGGUAAGUGGAAUUCCGAGUGUAGAGGUGAAAUUCGUAGAUAUUCGGAAGAACACCAGUGGCGAAGGCGGGUCCCUGGACACACCUGACACUGAGGCACGGAAAGCUAGGGGAGCAA
This 248-nucleotide ribosomal RNA is filed under the name uncultured bacterium. RNAcentral's name for it is "partial 16S ribosomal RNA". It matches the Rfam family "Bacterial small subunit ribosomal RNA", at positions 524 to 771 of the family's 1533-position model. The record is from RNAcentral.